Molecule: ribosomal RNA, 403 nt
Filed under: uncultured bacterium
Lineage: Bacteria
Description: bacterial SSU rRNA
Rfam family: Bacterial small subunit ribosomal RNA
Source: RNAcentral
CAGGGAAUAUUAGUAAUGGGCGGAAGCCUGAACUAGCAACGCCGCGUGUGCGAAGAAGGCCUUCGGGUUGUAAAGCACUUUUUGAGAGGAUGAGGAAGGACGGUACUCUCAGAAUAAGUCUCGGCUAACUACGUGCCAGCAGCCGCGGUAACACGUAGGAGGCGAACGUUAUCCGGAUUUACUGGGCGUAAAGCGCGUGUAGGUGGUUUGGUAAGUAGGGCGUGAAAGCUCCUGGCUCAACUGGGAGAGGCCGUUCUAAACUGCCGAACUAGAGGAUGGUAGAGGGAGGUGGAAUUCCGGGUGUAGCGGUGGAAUGCGCGGAUAUCCGGAGGAACACCAGUGGCGAAAGCGGCCUCCUGGACCAUUCCUGACACUCAGACGCGAAAGCUAGGGUAGCAAACGG